Molecule: ribosomal RNA, 254 nt
Filed under: uncultured bacterium
Lineage: Bacteria
Description: partial 16S ribosomal RNA
Rfam family: Bacterial small subunit ribosomal RNA
Source: RNAcentral
UACGUAGGGCGCAAGCGUUGUCCGGAAUUAUUGGGCGUUAAGAGCUCGUAGGCGGUGUGUCACGUCGUUCGUGAAAACCUGCAGCUUAACUGUGGGCGUGCGGUCGAUACGGGCAUCACUGGAGUUCGGCAGGGGAGACUGGAAUUCCUGGUGUAGCGGUGAAAUGCGCAGAUAUCAGGAGGAACACCGGUGGCGAAGGCGGGUCUCUGGGCCGAUACUGACGCUGAGGAGCGAAAGCGUGGGUAGCAAACAGG